Brassica napus (rape) is the source of this 2335-nucleotide long non-coding RNA. RefSeq lists it as uncharacterized. The record is from RefSeq and is a predicted model, not a curated record. The transcript is spliced from 5 exons. NCBI's taxonomy places the organism in Eukaryota, Viridiplantae, Streptophyta, Magnoliopsida, Brassicales, Brassicaceae.
CAAGUGACGGUUUAAGGUUCAUUAACUCCAUGGCGAAAUGAGUUUGCCCUUUUUCAGCUGCAAUGUGUAAUGGCGUCUCACAAAAAGACACAUUAUCAAAAUGUUCCAAAAUAUUUGGAUAUUCUGCUAUCAGCUCGUAGAGUCCCUCAAUAUCCCCAUCUUGAGCCUCCAUAUCGAGUCUCUCAUAGAUGUCAACAAUUUGAAACGCCAUAUCAGUUACUCUGUUCAAACUCCUUUCUGCCUCUGGAGAAUUUCCUUUGGCUCCUGCAACAAAGGCUUAAGUAUAAACUUCAAAGUCUCCGUGUGCAUCAAGUGACGGGAAGGUACUUGGAUGUCAAUCCUCCCCCUCUCCUUGCUCUGUAAAGAGGUGUGGAUUUGCUCAACAUUGGAGAUCUAAACUUGAUUCAAAUCCAGGGUCUCAAAAACAGUGUUCAGACACUCAUCAACACUAUCGAUGCAAGACUUGUCCCUGCAGAUGUUUGAUGUUUCCUUCGGACCUUGUAAUAAAAGAAAAAUGACUUUUUUCUAAGAUCUGUUGAGGUUACUUUUGUAAUGGCUCAUAUAAAUCUUUAUUUAUGUUUUCAAUUGAAUUAUUUUUUCUUGAAUCCAAUAUCACUUCCUUAAUUUUACUAUUAAAUGAAGUAGAGGAACAUGAUAAGUUAGAUGAGCCAAGCACCCACCAAGAGCAUGACUUAUGGCCGGUGAAUAUUGAUGCAUUUGGCUGCCAUGCAGAAAAGAGAUAAUGAGUGGCAUAUAGGGAUGAAGGAUGACUUUAACUCUUUCCCAAAGGUAACGGCAUUCGUGGUUGUCUCACAUGUAUAGAGAACAGUAAGAGUUUAGUUUAGACAACGUUUUUGUUUCGAGAUUUUGUAUGAUAUACUUAAUAACUAAUUCAACAUGCUCGCACGUUGAAAUUUUGUUUCUGCGGAUGUUUUAGAGACUUAAAUUUUCCAUGUUUCAGAGCUUUGAUUGGAAAGUUUCACAAGUUUCUAGAGUUCACAACUAUUCUCGCGUUUUGAUCAGAAACAUUUCAGGAGACUCGAAACUUUCAAAAGCUCAAUGCUCUAAUUGCGCUUUGAUCAGAAACAUUUCAGGAGACUCAGAACUUUCAAAAGCUCAACGCUCUGAUCGCGCUUUAAUCAGAAACAUUUCAGGAUAUUCAGAACUUUCAAAAGCUCAACCCUCUAAGCGGUAAGACAUAAUUGUAUGUGAUUCUGAUGAUCUCUAAUGGUGAUAAGUAGAUUUGGAUGCAUAUGUAUCAUCUGAGAACAUGAUUCAUGAUAAAAUUGUAUCCCCUCUGUCCCAGCGCUUUGAUCAGAAACAUUUUAGUAGCUUCAGAACUUUCAAAAGCUCAACACUCUAAUUGGUAAGACAGAAUUGUGUUACUUUGAUUGAAUUAGAAAGAUUAUUUGAAUUGAAUUUAUAAACAAGUAUGACUUUUCCAACUCAUGGCUUUGAUUGGAAACGUUUUACAAGUUUCCAGAGUUCACAGCUAUUCUCGUUAAGGACCUUUAAGUUUUGUUUUGAGCAAUUUCCGUUGUGAUUCUAUUAUGAGUUUAGGAUAAUUACCAAACUGUUUUGGAUAUAUCCAAAUUUGGUUAGGAUAGUUUCAUGAAUACCUGAAACUGUGAAAUUCUUCAAUGAGUGCUAUUACUCCAACAAGGCAGGUUUGGGAGUAUGGAAUGCCUUUAUAAUAAGUUUAGCCCACGCUCAAGAGCUCACCAUGUUUGAGAAUGUACCUAAACCUUUAACUGUGUUUGAGGAUAUGCCUAGUACGAUGGUGAAGACUCAUGCGAUGUAUUGGAAUGCAAUGGUCGCUUGUUCUCAAGCUGGAGAAACUAGAUAGCUCAAUAUCUUCUUGGUAAAAGUCUUCAAGUUUCUAGCUGUUGAGCCAUCGAUUGAGAUCACAUUAUGCUAUAUAGAUGGUUUGGCAAGAAAUGGGCAGGUUAAAAAGGAUUUUACUGAGGUGAAAUGUAUGAUCUACAAAUCCAACCAGGAGAUCGUUGUGAGCAUCUUUGCCGUUACAGAAUGCACCCAAAUGCACCCAACACCUGUUAUCUUCGCUAAUGAGGUUUUGAGCUAUGUUGAAUCACAUGGAGUUGUUUUCUACAUUGACAAAUCAACAUAUAGGCAACUUGCCGAAGAUGGUGCUACCUUAAAUCUGAAUGCAAGAUUAAUAAGUGAAGGAGUAAAGGAUCGUCAGCCAUAGAGAGUCACAUGCAUUGAAAAAAAAAUUGUGAACAAAUAUUGUCUUUUUUGUUUUUGUGAACAAAAUUGUUUGAUUUUGUUGUUUCCUUUUGAUAUGAUUGUUAUGUUAAAAGUGGGCUCAACCUAA